UACAGAGGGUGCGAGCGUUAAUCGGAAUUACUGGGCGUAAAGGGUGCGUAGGCGGUUCUAUAAGUCAGUGGUGAAAUCCCCGGGCUUAACCUGGGAACUGCGCUUGUAACUGGCAAGCUAGAGUGUGGCAGAGGGGGGUGGAAUUCCACGUGUAGCAGUGAAAUGCGUAGAGAUGUGGAGGAACACCGAUGGCGAAGGCAGCCCCCUGGGUCAACACUGACGCUCAUGCACGAAAGCGUGGGGAGCAAACAGG
Molecule: ribosomal RNA, 253 nt
Filed under: uncultured bacterium
Lineage: Bacteria
Description: partial 16S ribosomal RNA
Rfam family: Bacterial small subunit ribosomal RNA
Source: RNAcentral